Formica exsecta is the source of this 1002-nucleotide long non-coding RNA. RefSeq lists it as uncharacterized. The record is from RefSeq and is a predicted model, not a curated record. The transcript has 3 exons. NCBI's taxonomy places the organism in Eukaryota, Metazoa, Arthropoda, Insecta, Hymenoptera, Formicidae.
AUGUGAGCGAAUUAUGUAAUCGAUUGAAGCAAUUUUUCUCAAUUGCAUAAAUAAUAAUAUUAUUUAAUCGGGAAUGAAUUGAGAUAUCUUAGAAAAUAAUUUUUUUAUUUUUCUAAGACAUCACGUUCUCUAAGAUAUCUGAAAUGUUUUCUUGCGUAAAGAACCGAUAGGUAGUAAGGCACCUUCCGUCACGGGUGACGCGAAACGAUGGCUGCAGACUAAAUCAACGACUGGAUUCGCGAUGCAGUGCCAAGCGCAGGGUCACCCAGUACCAUCGUUCAGGUAGAGCGUUUUCUGCGCCCUUUAUCGAUCGCCAAUUUGUGCGUCAUUAAUAGGAAUUUAUGGUACUGACAGAAUGGUUGUAAAAGGCUAUCAAGGCUUGUUUUACUUUUAUCGAGAGCUUUAUUUUCAUGUGAAUGAAAAACGCGAAUUUUUCGCGGCAAUUUGUUUUCUUUUCUUCAAUAAAAUUCGUAUUUUGGCAUACGAUUUUUGUAUUGCUAGAACCGAUGGGAGCGAAAGGACCGAAAUUCUCGAGCGAUGAUCGCGUCCACUCGUUUAUACGCGCUGCAGGAAACGCAUCAAGUUUGCAAUGUCCUGCGCAGGGGUUCCCCGUGCCGUCGUUCAGGUAAUUAAGAGAAUGAAGAAUUCUCAGAGGAUUCAGAGAGAGCAUCCUUUUUCAUUUCGCUCCAGAGCCCGUGGGAUCGAAGGUGCCCGCCUUUCAGAGCGACGCGAAAAGUAGCACUUACGUAAGAAACGCGAAAUCAUCGCUCGCGCUAACUUGUGCCGCUCAAGCAUCGCCACCUCCGACUCACAGAGCCAGCAGGUCGUGUGUCCCCAAAAUUCCCGAAAUCGGCAAAAUCCGAUUCUUUUGAAGUGGCGAACGGUGAUGUGAUAAGUUUAUUGUGCGAUGCACAGGCAUUCCCUGCUCCCGCAUUUAGAACCAGCAGGUCGUGUGGCCCCAAAAUUCCCGAAAAUGGCAAAGUCCAAUUCUUUCGAAAUAGC